RNAcentral lists this ribosomal RNA (494 nucleotides) under uncultured bacterium. Its description in RNAcentral is "partial 16S ribosomal RNA". It matches the Rfam family "Bacterial small subunit ribosomal RNA", at positions 28 to 507 of the family's 1533-position model. The record is from RNAcentral.
GACGAACGCUGGCGGCGCGCUUAACACAUGCAAGUCGAACGGAAAGGCCUGCUUUCCCUUGUGGAUUGCGGGUACUCGAGUGGCGAACGGGUGAGUAACACGUGAGUGAUCUGCCCCCAACUUGGGUAUAAGCCUGGGAAACUGGGUCUAAUUCCCGAUAGGACUGCAGGGGGGUGCCUGUGGUGGAAAACGGUGUUCUAGUGGCUGGGGAUGAGCUCGCGGCCUAUCAGCUUGUUGGUGGGGUAAUGGCCUACCAAGGCGGCGACGGGUAGCCGGCCUGAGAGGGUGGACGGACACAUUGGGACUGAGAUACUGCCCAGACUCCUACGGGAGGCAGCAGUGGGGAAUAUUGCACAAUGGGCGGAAGCCUGAUGCAGCGACGCCGCGUGGGGGAUGACGGCCUUCGGGUUGUAAACUCCUUUCGACCGCGAGGAAGCCACCUGGUUGGAAGGGUGGUGACGGUAGUGGUAGAAGAAGCACCGGCUAACUACGUG